UUAAAUUUAGAUUUGAUUAUUAUAAAUCUAUUUGUCUAAAUAUAAUUGUUGGCUUUAAUGGAAUAGUGAUCUGAUUAUGUGAAUAGUGUGUAUGUGAUUAUAUUUGUUGUGUGGAUCAAUAUGGAUUAUACUAAUUAUGCGUUCUCCUUCCUUCUCUGAUUCCGAGGACGGAAUCCCUAUAAGGAGGGUAGAUUGUAAUGACCCGGAUUUUUUAAAAAUAUUUUUAUUAGUAUUAAAAGUGAUUUUUCUUUAAAAAAGGGAAUAAGAUUUAAUAUUUUAUUCCAGUUUAAUGAGUUUUCAAAGUUUUAUAUUUAAACCCCGGGUUAUUUUGUUAUUUAUAAAUAAUGGUAUUUUCAAAACUGAUUUUCAAAUAUUGUUUUGAAAAUUCUGUAUGAAUAUUCUGUGAAUAUAUGUGUGAUGUGAGUAAGUGGUAUUGGUGGAUUUGUUGGUUAAUUAGUUAUGGUUAAUUAUGAGUAUUAUAUGAUUAAUAUAUAUGAAUUUUUGUAAAUUUUAUAUUAUCUGGUUUAUUGCGUUAACUGCUCAUAUGUGUUCGUAUUUGAGAGAUUUCAAUUUCUAUAUGCUCAGGAGAAAAUAUAGUUUAUUUGGAUAUUUUCAUAUCGAUUUAUGGAAUGUUAGAUGAUUUUAUAAUCGAUUUACGGAUUUAAUUGCGUAUAUUUAUAUUUAUUUAUUAAUUAUUUGACUUCCGUAAAACCGUCCACUCGUAACGAGGUAGCAAAUUUUCUUCCCGGAAGUUUCAACAAAACUGACCUUUAGCCUAAUUUGAAUAUUCCGGACACUUUUCGUGUUUUGACUUUUUCGAUCCGGAGUACGGUUUUUCCCGGAGUCGGUCCGGCGGAGUUUUGCGGGUAUUUGAAUUGUUGAUAAUUAUCCAGUUUGUCUCGAUAAGCGUGAAACUAGAUAUUUUGAUUAUUAUAUUAAUUCUUAUCUUGUAAUAAUUGCAAUGGGACCCGCAUACUAAUGACUGAUUAAAAAGCCCCGUUUUGAUGAUUAUCUUGAAAACCAGUACCGAUUGGACCCCGCUUUAUUAUAUAAAGCUAGUAAAUACGUAUUUUCAUGUCAUAAACGAUCCAAAGGGGUACCAAUUAUUUGUAAAUAUAAAUAGACUUUUCUAUAGCUGAUUUUCACCGUAGAAAUCAUUUUCACCAGUUUCUUUUCACAAAUACCGAGAGAAACCGAGCGGUGUUCUUCGUGUUCUUCAUAAUCAAACGAGGAUUUGAAGGUGUUAUCGGAAUCCGAUGGAGGCUUAUGAAUAGUCAAAACGAAGCUAUCGACGCGUAGAAUCAGGUUUAAGCAUCCGUUUAUGUGCAGAUUUUUCAGGUGAUUUUAUAUUAAUUUUACAAAAUUCGAGUUAUUAUAAUUUAAAUAGUGAAUUUUUGCAAACGUGAUUGUUUGAUUGAUUUGAUGAUUCCAUGUUGUAGAGCGUGUUUUUCUCGUCGUUUUGGUAUAUUAUAUAUCGAUUUUUGACUUCCGUAUCAUAUAUAAAAUUGGGUUUGAUUAUUGGGUUGUGUUCUUGAAUGUUCUUGAAGGAUUAUGAAUAUUUUCAAUCGGAAAUUGGGGGUUUUUAAUUCGCUAAAUCUGGGCUGUUAUGGCUUAUAUCACUGGAUAGAGCAUGAGGAGAUGAAUUUGUUCGUGUAAUUAGUUUAUAUGUUGGAAUUCGAAUGGAGUCGCCGGAGUCUGGAAAUGGGUCCGCCGGCGGCGGUUGUUUAUUUCGAUUUUACGGCCAACCCUUAGAUUUGUUACUGAUUUUAACGACUUGAACAUGAUCCUGGUAGUGUAUAGAGUGUUUCUGGAGUUUCUGGUGCAUGUUGGGGGGCGGCGGCGCCGUUUCCGGCAAAGCUAGUGGUGGCCGGCGGCAAAUUGCCGUUUGGCUACCCAACUUAUGAAGAUGGUGAAGUUUGAGUACUGAAGUUUCGAAUCUUACAAAACAUCCCCUGUAACUUUUGAAAGUUGCACUUUAAACCCUGGACAAAACUUUCAAAAGUUUACACUUUAAACCUUUGAUUUUAAUUUUCAAAAAUUGUUUUUAUUUAAUUAUUUUAAUUUCAAAAAUAGUUUUUAAUUAUUUCUUUAUUCAAAAAUAAAUCUAAAUUGAUUUAUUAAUUAAUUUUGAUUAGCAAUUAAUUAUUUUAAUUGGUCAAUUAAUUUAAAUAUUAAUUGAUUAAUUAAUUUAAUUAAUUAUUAAUUGAUUUUAAUUGAUUAAUUAUUUGGAUUUAAUUAUCCUUUUUGAUUUAAAAAUUCUGAAAAAUAGUUUCGAGCUUUAAAAUAUUUUUCCAAAUUAUUUUCAAGGCUCGAUAAUUGUUUAUGAAUGAUUUCAAGUCCAAUUUCAAGUAUUUGGGACUUGAUUAUUUAUCCGAAAAGUGAUUCUUUUAUCGAUUUUAAUUCCGAAAAAUGUUUAAAAAUUCCAGAAAAUUCCCGAAAAAUCAUUUUUAACCCAAGAGUUGAUUUGAUAUCAAUCGGGGUGGGAAACCUUAUGUGUAAUGUGUUGUCUGCUAUCUGUUUGAUGUGUUAUGUGCCGAUAGAGGAGUUAGAAAACGGUUUUGACCAUAUCUUUGGAUCCGUAAGUCGGAAUCAAGUGAAACGAAAGAGAGACAGAAGCUUAUAACGUUUAUUUUAAUAUGAUGUGAUUAUAUGGCUGAGUCUAUAAGGUGAAUAAUUGUUGAUAAGUAUGCAUAAUGUGAUAAUAUGUGAUCUAAGUGUUAUCAGGUGAUGAUUAUGUGAAGUACGUGUUAGUUUUGAUAUUGUGAAGUGAUAAAUGAUUUAAAUGACAUAGUGUCAUGACUUGACUGAUAUUGGAUAAGAAUAUAUGGAUUAUAGUGAUUGGAUGUGGUUGGUUGAUUGAUGAUUGAGAUAGGAUAAUAGGUGGAUAGUCUUAUACAUAGACGAGACGAUGUCGGAUUUUCGAUAAGGAUUUAUAUGAUAAUUGAUUGGUGAUAUGUUAUGUGGAAUAUGAUUGACUAUAUGUUAGAGUCAAAGCAUGCUUAUGUGUUACGUAGUAUCUGAUAAGUUUAAAGGGGUAUAUAAGUGGGUAUCGAUAUACGUGAUAUGUAUAUGCGAUAUAUUGUUUAGUGACUAUAGUAUUAUCUUAUUCUCGUAAAGGAUUUGGACGAGACGUGUACGCUCGAAGACGUCAGAAAGUCGAAAUGGUAUUGCAAAGCGAAUAAGGGAUGAAUCGAGUAAGCGAAGCGAUGUGGCGAAUAGAGUAUAGCUAGAGAUGGUCUAGAGAUUACGAGAUGCAUAGAUUGUGAAAGUUGAAAGAUGAGAAUGAGCUGUGAAACUGGAGUCAGAUUUAAGGCAAGUAUCCUAAACCUUUCUCUUGGAUAUAUUGCAAAUAUUCUGAUCCAUUCCUUUGGUAUAUGUUUCAAGUAUUCAUACCUUUCUUUUCAAUGUUCGAAAGUGCGAGUAUUCUGAACCAUUCUUUCUAAUCUUCAAGUUUCUAAAGAAUUUCCGUUUUACAAAUUAAUUCGAAGUUCAGAUUGUCAUUGAAGCAUGUGUUGCUCAGUGAUAGUUAGAGCUUUGAAUGAAUUGGGAUCUUCUUGAUUAUUCAACCCGCCAUUGUCAUGCUGGUUUAGCAGGCUAAAUUCAGUUGCUUAGCCGAUAAUGGAGGAUACUGAAUAGUUGAGGAUUUCCUGAACUGUGA
Molecule: long non-coding RNA, 3658 nt
Filed under: Daucus carota (carrot)
Lineage: Eukaryota; Viridiplantae; Streptophyta; Magnoliopsida; Apiales; Apiaceae
Description: long non-coding RNA (DCAR_LNC001886)
Source: RNAcentral